GAUGAAGAACGUAGCGAAAUGCGAUAAGUAGUGUGAAUUGCAGAAUUCAGUGAAUCAUCGAAUCUUUGAACGCACAUUGCGCCCCUUGGUAUCCCGAGGGGCAUGCCUGUUCGAGCGUCAUUUCACCACUCAAGCCUGGCUUGGUGUUGGGCGACGUCCUCUUUGGGGACGCGCCUCGAAACGCUCGGCGGCGUGGCACCGGCUUUAAGCGUAGCAGAAUCUUUCGCUUUGGAAGUCGGGGCCCCGUCUGCCGGAAGACCUGCUCGCAAGGUUGACCUCGGAUCAGCCAGGGAUACCCGCUGAACUUAAGCAUAUCAUAAGCGGAGGA
Molecule: unclassified non-coding RNA, 328 nt
Filed under: soil metagenome
Description: partial contains 5.8S ribosomal RNA, internal transcribed spacer 2, and large subunit ribosomal RNA
Rfam family: 5.8S ribosomal RNA (bases 1-120)
Source: RNAcentral